AAGGAAUUAACGACUUUCAAGUUC
RNAcentral lists this non-coding RNA (24 nucleotides) under Arabidopsis thaliana (thale cress). Lineage: Eukaryota; Viridiplantae; Streptophyta; Magnoliopsida; Brassicales; Brassicaceae. The record is from RNAcentral.